CGUUGUUAAACCCCAUCAAAGAAGAACAGAGUAAUGUUGCCGCUACUCGGCCUGAAGUACUAGAAUAAAACUAUCUACUUGAAGGUGGAGAGGGAGUAAGAUCACAAGAACGUAGAAUGCUGCCAGACAGCCACAGGAUCGCUAGAGGCAUAUGCAUGCUGUGACAUGGGCCUGGAUGGUGACACAUAUGCUUCCAGCUGCCAGACUGAAUACUGGGGCCUUCAGUGGUACCUUACCUGACAUUACAGCAAGAGACUCCUUAUCUCUGUCUCGCAGCCAUUUAACAUCAACAUGUAUUUUAUGCAACCAGUCAUUCAUACAAACUGCUACAGACACAAUAACUGACUUAUAUUCACUUGUCUAUUUGUCCUAUUCUUCAGGCUUGUCUGGGAUAUAUAUUGUAGUUGGUACACCUGUGUGAAAUGCUCAUUUACAAGUCUUUAUAUACAUGAAUAAACAUGUAUUUAACCUGGA
This is a long non-coding RNA of Salmo salar (Atlantic salmon), 474 nucleotides long. RefSeq lists it as uncharacterized. NCBI's taxonomy places the organism in Eukaryota, Metazoa, Chordata, Actinopteri, Salmoniformes, Salmonidae. The record is from RefSeq and is a predicted model, not a curated record.